Molecule: ribosomal RNA, 497 nt
Filed under: uncultured bacterium
Lineage: Bacteria
Description: partial 16S ribosomal RNA
Rfam family: Bacterial small subunit ribosomal RNA
Source: RNAcentral
GAUGAACACUGGCGGCGUGCCUAAUACAUGCGAGUCGAGCGAACAGACGAGGAGCUUGCUCCUCUGACGUUAGCGGCGGACGGGUGAGUAACACGUGGAUAACCUACCUAUAAGACUGGGAUAACUUCGGGAAACCGGAGCUAAUACCGGAUAAUAUAUUGAACCGCAUGGUUCAAUAGUGAAAGACGGUUUUGCUGUCACUUAUAGAUGGAUCCGCGCCGCAUUAGCUAGUUGGUAAGGUAACGGCUUACCAAGGCAACGAUGCGUAGCCGACCUGAGAGGGUGAUCGGCCACACUGGAACUGAGACACGGUCCAGACUCCUACGGGAGGCAGCAGUAGGGAAUCUUCCGCAAUGGGCGAAAGCCUGACGGAGCAACGCCGCGUGAGUGAUGAAGGUCUUCGGAUCGUAAAACUCUGUUAUUAGGGAAGAACAAAUGUGUAAGUAACUAUGCACGUCUUGACGGUACCUAAUCAGAAAGCCACGGCUAACUACGUG